AAUAAAGGACCUAAUUAACAUCUAUUGAGCGGUUGCGUUAUUGGAUGCAUUUAACGUUUUACUUCUGUAACGAUCAAAAGAAAUGCACGAAAAUUUGUGGAGGAUUGAAAUGAAAGUCUAGGUCAGCCACGGCGACAGCGUUAAUUUGGCCUGAUUAUCGUGUUUCUCUACUCUUUUCUCGUCGUCUUGAAUCUAGAUGAGGAAGAAGAAAAUUUAGUUGACCCGGUAAUUCUUCGGAGCAGUUGCACUCAGGGUUUACUUAGCAGAAUUAGCAUUUCCUGGCGCCCUUUUUAGACCAUUGAUAAGUUAAUAUAGCGUUUUCGAAUGCAAUUUGAAUUCCAAAAUUGAUUUAACUAAAUAUGCAUCG
Pogonomyrmex barbatus (red harvester ant) is the source of this 367-nucleotide long non-coding RNA. The record is from RefSeq and is a predicted model, not a curated record. Lineage: Eukaryota; Metazoa; Arthropoda; Insecta; Hymenoptera; Formicidae.